GAUGAACGCUGGCGGCGUGCUUAACACAUGCAAGUCGAACGGAAAGGCUCCUGCUUGCAGGGGUACUCGAGUGGCGAACGGGUGAGUAACACGUGGGUGAUCUGCCCUGCACUUCGGGAUAAGCCUGGGAAACUGGGUCUAAUACCGGAUAGGACGAUGGUUUGGAUGCCAUUGUGGAAAGUUUUUCGGUGUGGGAUGAGCUCGCGGCCUAUCAGCUUGUUGGUGGGGUAAUGGCCUACCAAGGCGUCGACGGGUAGCCGGCCUGAGAGGGUGUACGGCCACAUUGGGACUGAGAUACGGCCCAGACUCCUACGGGAGGCAGCAGUGGGGAAUAUUGCACAAUGGGCGCAAGCCUGAUGCAGCGACGCCGCGUGGGGGAUGACGGCCUUCGGGUUGUAAACUCCUUUCGCUAGGGACGAAGCGCAAGUGACGGUACCUGGAGAAAAAGCACCGGCUAACUACGUG
This 465-nucleotide ribosomal RNA is filed under the name uncultured bacterium. RNAcentral describes it as "partial 16S ribosomal RNA". It matches the Rfam family "Bacterial small subunit ribosomal RNA", at positions 28 to 507 of the family's 1533-position model. The record is from RNAcentral.